AACCUGCGGAAGGAUCAUUGUCGAGUCCUGCAAAGCAGACGACCGCGAACCUGUUAUCAAUUGCCUCGGGGCUGCCGGGGAAUUUUGUCCCUGACGGACUUUUUGUCGAGAGUUCCGUAAAAUAACUAAACCCCGGCGCGGAUAGCGUCAAGUAUCAAUCAAACAUUUUGCCCCGCGCGCUGCGAGGCCCGAUCGCGGGUGACGUGCAGUGUGCGGCGGCGACAUGAUCGUUUAACCAAAACGACUCUCGGCAACGGAUAUCUAGGCUCUCGCAUCGAUGAAGAACGUACCAAAAUGCAAUACUUGGGGUGAAUUGCAAAAUCCCGGGAACCAUCAAGUUUUUGAACGCAAGUUGCCCCCAAAGCCUUUAGGCCAAGGGCACGUCGGCCGGGGCGUCACGCUUCGCGUCGCCACCCCUCUCCCAAGUUAGGUGCGGGGUGACGAAGUUUGGCCUCCCGGGCAACGUUGGUGGCGCGGUGGGCCUAAUUGCAAGAUUCUGACGGGUUAAAGGACGCAACAAGGGGGGGUUGAAUUCUUUGUCACCUGGAUCGGCGUCGUCGCCUAAAACCCACGUCGAAAAUCACAAUGUUCGAAAACCCAAUGGCCACAA
RNAcentral lists this unclassified non-coding RNA (610 nucleotides) under Lasianthus clementis. Its description in RNAcentral is "sequence contains ITS1, 5.8S rRNA gene, ITS2". The stretch from base 243 to 398 matches the Rfam family "5.8S ribosomal RNA". Lineage: Eukaryota; Viridiplantae; Streptophyta; Magnoliopsida; Gentianales; Rubiaceae. The record is from RNAcentral.